Molecule: ribosomal RNA, 261 nt
Filed under: uncultured archaeon
Lineage: Archaea
Description: partial 16S ribosomal RNA
Rfam family: Archaeal small subunit ribosomal RNA
Source: RNAcentral
CAGCCGUAAACAAUGUGCGUUAGGUGUGUCGGUAACCACGCGUUACUGAUGCGCCGAAGAGAAGUCGUGAAACGCACCACCUGGGAAGUACGGUCGCAAGGCUGAAACUUAAAGGAAUUGGCGGGGGAGCACCACAACAGGUGGAGCCUGCGGUUUAAUUGGAUUCAACGCCGGACAUCUCACCGGAUAAGACAGCUGAAUGAUUGUCAAUCUGAAGGUUUUACAUGACUAGCUGAGAGGAGGUGCAUGGCGUCAGUGACU